UGCUAGUAACUUUAGGUUACCGGAACACUUACGAGAUGGCGGUGUUGUUUCGGUAUUCGAAUAGCGCUAUCGAUUUAUCGAUGUUUAUUUUCUGCUUGGGUGCUUUGUGUCAUUUGGUUUAAUUUUUGUAUCGGUUUAUAAAUUAAUUUUGUAUUGUGUUUCGCUGUUAUUUGUUGUUAGCAUUUUAGUUUAAGUGCUAACCUUCACGGUCACGUGACCGGCGCCCCGCCUACCCGCCACGUCGGCUUCCGGGUCGGCGGAGGGGCGGUCGUAGAAGGAGGGAUUCGAGGCAUUCUUGGUCUAUCGGUGACGGCGGCGGGAGCCAUGCCGAUUUGGGUUUUUUGGUCACCAUGGUUGCUCUAGCCGUACGACUUUGAGGGCUUUGAGGGCGCACCGUGUAGAAACCGCUUGCUUCACUAUGUUUUGCAAUAUAAAUUCAUCUGUGG
Long non-coding RNA from Amphibalanus amphitrite, 446 nucleotides. RefSeq lists it as uncharacterized. Lineage: Eukaryota; Metazoa; Arthropoda; Thecostraca; Balanomorpha; Balanidae. The transcript is spliced from 2 exons. The record is from RefSeq and is a predicted model, not a curated record.